This 254-nucleotide long non-coding RNA is filed under the name Manihot esculenta (cassava). Its description in RNAcentral is "long non-coding RNA (MESC_LNC013026)". The record is from RNAcentral. Lineage: Eukaryota; Viridiplantae; Streptophyta; Magnoliopsida; Malpighiales; Euphorbiaceae.
GCCGGCCUCCUCCUCUGCUUGUUGUCCGGGCUCCAAAGAAGUUCUGGGCUAUUGAGGGGUUCGCUCUAACUUCACCUUUUUCCGCAGAGAAAAAGGGAAUUUCCUCGAUGCCCCUGUUGUCCUCUUUUGAUAUAAAUGGGAGUGGCGCCGGCGCUCAGCUUGUUGUUCCUUUUGGUGUGAAGUACCAGUAUUAUUAUUCCCUUUGGUGUGAAGUACCAGUAUUACGUGAGACUGGGAUCUGCUGCACUCAGUCA